UCCUACGGGGGGCAGCAGUAGGGAAUUUUCGUCAAUGGGCGCAAGCCUGAACGAGCAAUGCCGCGUGAACGAGGAAGGUCUUCGGGUCGUAAAGUUCUGUUGAAGGGGAAAAAGAGCGGAGAGAGGAAAUGGUCUCCGAUUGAUAUUACCCUUCGAGGAAGUCACGGCUAACUACGUGCCAGCAGCCGCGGUAAUACGUAGGUGGCGAGCGUUAUCCGGAAUGAUUGGGCGUAAAGGGUGCGUAGGCGGCCUGCUAAGUCUGGAGUGAAAGGUACCGGCUCAACCGGUACAGGCACUGGAAACUG
RNAcentral lists this ribosomal RNA (305 nucleotides) under uncultured bacterium. RNAcentral's name for it is "bacterial SSU rRNA". It matches the Rfam family "Bacterial small subunit ribosomal RNA", at positions 337 to 635 of the family's 1533-position model. The record is from RNAcentral.